AGUCAGCAGAAAGUCCCCCAGGAAGUGAUCUUGAUGAGGCAACAACCUACGACCAAGAAAUGGCUUCCCUGUUGUUGCUGUUACAUCUCCUUCCACCACCUCCAGGGGGACUGAAGUCUCCAAAAAUUAGUGCAUGUGAUGCAGUUGAGAGACUUGUUGUCUUUCAUAAGUUUUCUCAUCUCAACCC
This is a long non-coding RNA of Perca fluviatilis (European perch), 187 nucleotides long. RefSeq lists it as uncharacterized. The transcript has 3 exons. NCBI's taxonomy places the organism in Eukaryota, Metazoa, Chordata, Actinopteri, Perciformes, Percidae. The record is from RefSeq and is a predicted model, not a curated record.